Molecule: non-coding RNA, 570 nt
Organism: Galeopterus variegatus (Sunda flying lemur)
Lineage: Eukaryota; Metazoa; Chordata; Mammalia; Dermoptera; Cynocephalidae
Source: the annotation of a RefSeq genome assembly
AUGAGAUUGUGGGGUCUUCUCCUUUGCCUGGUGACAGCUCCACAAGGUGUCCUGUCCGAGGUGCAGCUGCAGGAGUCGGGCCCAGGACUGGUGAAACCCUCACAGACCCUCUCCCUCACCUGUGCUGUCUCUGGUUUCUCCAUCACAAACAGUGGUUAUGGUUGGAGCUGGAUCCGCCAGCCCCCAGGGAAGGCGCUGGAGUGGAUGGGACGCAUCAGUAGUAGUGGUGGUACAGCUUAUAACCCGUCCCUCAAGAGCCGCACCUCCAUCACCAGAGACACGUCCAAGAACCAGUUCUCCCUGCAGCUGAGCUCUGUGACCGCCGAGGACACAGGCAUGUAUUACUGUGCAAGAGACACAGUGACAGGAAGUCAGCGCGAGCCCAGACACAAACCUCCCUGCAGGAUACAGGAGGGGUCUGGGCUGAAGGGGGCGCUCAAGGCCCACCCAGCUCCUGUACCCCAUGGAGCAGGACCCCUGCUCAUGGCGUCUCUAUCCUCAAUGAGGCAGUUUAGCCUCUGGAUCCUCAUCCACACUGUGGACAUUGAUGUUCAGGAUUUGUCCCACUGA